This 350-nucleotide ribosomal RNA is filed under the name uncultured bacterium. Its description in RNAcentral is "bacterial SSU rRNA". It matches the Rfam family "Bacterial small subunit ribosomal RNA", at positions 355 to 695 of the family's 1533-position model. The record is from RNAcentral.
UAAGGAAUUUUGCACAAUGGGCGAAAGCCUGAUGCAGCAACGCCGCGUGAACGAUGAAGUUUUUAGGAAUGUAAAGUUCUGUCGUAUGGGAAGAGAUCUUUCGAAUGUUAAUACUAUUCGUUAAUGACGGUACCAUACAAGAAAGCACCGGCUAACUUCGUGCCAGCAGCCGCGGUAAUACGAGGGGUGCUAGCGUUGUCCGGAUUUACUGGGCGUAAAGGGUACGUAGGCGUUUUAAUAAGUUGUAUGUUAAAUAUCUUAGCUUAACUAAGAAGAUGCAUCCAAAACUGUUAAAAUAGAGUUUGAGAGAGGAACGCAGAAUUCAUGGUGGAGCGGUGACAUGCGUAGAU